CCACAACAUGAGGAAAUGUAUUAAAGGUU
This 29-nucleotide non-coding RNA is filed under the name Cricetulus griseus (Chinese hamster). The record is from RNAcentral. Lineage: Eukaryota; Metazoa; Chordata; Mammalia; Rodentia; Cricetidae.